Molecule: transfer RNA, 77 nt
Filed under: Clostridiales bacterium
Lineage: Bacteria; Bacillati; Bacillota; Clostridia; Eubacteriales
Also listed under: 3 other names
Description: tRNA-Met
Rfam family: tRNA
About the family: Transfer RNA (tRNA) molecules are approximately 80 nucleotides in length. Their secondary structure includes four short double-helical elements and three loops (D, anti-codon, and T loops). Further hydrogen bonds mediate the characteristic L-shaped molecular structure. tRNAs have two regions of fundamental functional importance: the anti-codon, which is responsible for specific mRNA codon recognition, and the 3' end, to which the tRNAs corresponding amino acid is attached (by aminoacyl-tRNA synthetases). tRNAs cope with the degeneracy of the genetic code in two manners: having more than one tRNA (with a specific anti-codon) for a particular amino acid; and 'wobble' base-pairing, i.e. permitting non-standard base-pairing at the 3rd anti-codon position.
Source: RNAcentral
GGCGGCGUAGCUCAGUUGGCUAGAGCACUCGGUUCAUACCCGGGGUGUCACCGGUUCAAAUCCAGUCGCCGCUACCA